AGCUUUAUAGUCAAAUUAUGAUAUAAAAUUGCAAAUUUUAAGGUAGAUAUAUUUAUAUAUUAAGGCUU
Molecule: transfer RNA, 68 nt
Filed under: Comparmustilia semiravida
Lineage: Eukaryota; Metazoa; Arthropoda; Insecta; Lepidoptera; Endromidae
Description: tRNA-Cys
Source: RNAcentral